RNAcentral lists this ribosomal RNA (398 nucleotides) under Chlamydomonas angulosa. RNAcentral describes it as "partial small subunit ribosomal RNA". It matches the Rfam family "Eukaryotic small subunit ribosomal RNA", at positions 30 to 432 of the family's 1831-position model. Lineage: Eukaryota; Viridiplantae; Chlorophyta; Chlorophyceae; Chlamydomonadales; Chlamydomonadaceae. The record is from RNAcentral.
GCUUGUCUCAAAGAUUAAGCCAUGCAUGUCUAAGUAUAAAUGGUUAAUACUUGAAACUGCGAAUGGCUCAUUAAAUCAGUUAUAGUUUAUUUGAUGGUACCUCCUACUCGGAUAACCGUAGGAAAUCUAGAGCUAAUACGUGCGUAAAACCCGACUUCUGGAAGGGUCGUAUUUAUUAGAUAAAAGGCCAGCCGGGGCAACCCGACUCGCGGUGAAUCAUGAUAACUUCACGAAUCGUAUGGCCUCGUGCCGACGAUGUUUCAUUCAAAUUUCUGCCCUAUCAACUUUCGACGGUAGGAUAGAGGCCUACCGUGGUUUUAACGGGUGACGGAGGAUUAGGGUUCGAUUCCGGAGAGGGAGCCUGAGAGAUGGCUACCACAUCCAAGGAAGGCAGCAGG